This is a long non-coding RNA of Cucurbita moschata (crookneck pumpkin), 812 nucleotides long. RefSeq lists it as uncharacterized. NCBI's taxonomy places the organism in Eukaryota, Viridiplantae, Streptophyta, Magnoliopsida, Cucurbitales, Cucurbitaceae. The record is from RefSeq and is a predicted model, not a curated record. The transcript has 4 exons.
AGUCAACGAGGGGACAUGUGGGUCCAGUAUUGGUCCUUGCCAUUUCGAUACAUCAUUAAAUGUCCUAUGGGUUUCAACGUUUUAUUUGUCUCUUCACUAACAAAAGCUUCGGUUCAUGUUGAGGAAAAUGCAAGCACACAUGCUUUCAGUCUGACAAAGAUUUUGUCGGCAUGGCUACGUGGGGCGUUAUAUCACAUGCUGUCAUGUUAACAUAGAACUGCAUCAACUCAACUCUGACAGGGCAUGUUCCUUCCAAGUCGAACAUAGUAGUUGUUGGAUGUGUAACCGUCCAAGCUCACCACUAGUAGAUAUUGUCCGCUUUAGCUUGGUAUGUAUCGUCAUCAGCAUCACGAUUUUAAAAAGCAUCUAUUGAGAAGUGGUAAGUGUGUGGUUAAAGCAAGCCCUACCGUCAUCUUCCUCCAUGAUUGGUACCAAACUUUCCAUUUUGUUUUUUCUGUCCUCGCAUUUAUUCUCUGUAGUGAAAAAUGAGAAUGCUUUUUCUGUUUUUGUCGAAAUGUUUAUGAUAGGUGUGUGACAUCUCUUUGGAUUCUGCUGCGAGGGAGGGACCAACCCUCGCCGGGCCCUUACCUUUCACAUGCUGUCUUUGACUCCGUCAUCUCCUCAUAUGCUACUUUUUUGUUUUUUUUAGCUUCAAACCUUUCAUAAUAUUUGGUGUUUGGCUUAUAGAGUAAACUUUUGUACUUUUUAACUUUAGAGAUGAAAUUUAUAUUUAGUGUCCAAAUUUGUUUCUCCUCAAUUAUAGAAAGCAAUCUCACAUGUUACAUAAAUUUUGACUUAUAUUUACCUUUCGA